This 75-nucleotide transfer RNA is filed under the name Chloroflexota bacterium. RNAcentral describes it as "Chloroflexi bacterium (cold seep metagenome) tRNA-Ile". It matches the Rfam family "tRNA". From Rfam's summary of the family: Transfer RNA (tRNA) molecules are approximately 80 nucleotides in length. Their secondary structure includes four short double-helical elements and three loops (D, anti-codon, and T loops). RNAcentral also lists the same sequence under 1 other name. Lineage: Bacteria; Bacillati; Chloroflexota. The record is from RNAcentral.
GGGCCCGUAGCUCAGCGGCAGAGCGAUCGGCUCAUAACCGAUUGGUCGUUGGUUCGAAUCCAGCCGGGCCCACCA